RNAcentral lists this ribosomal RNA (328 nucleotides) under uncultured eukaryote. Its description in RNAcentral is "partial 18S ribosomal RNA". It matches the Rfam family "Eukaryotic small subunit ribosomal RNA", at positions 1470 to 1796 of the family's 1831-position model. The record is from RNAcentral.
CCCUUAGAUGUUCUGGGCCGCACGCGCGCUACACUGACGGAUUCAACGAGUCCUACCUAGGCCGAUAGGCCCGGGUAAUCUUGUCAAAGUCCGUCGUGCUGGGGAUAGACUCUUGUAAUUUUUAGUCUUGAACGAGGAAUUCCUAGUAAGCGCAAGUCAACAACUUGCGUUGAUUACGUCCCUGCCCUUUGUACACACCGCCCGUCGCUGCUACCGAUUGGAUGAUCCGGUGAAAUUUUCGGACUGUCGCGUGUAGUGCCGUUCGCGGAGCUCACGCGAUGGGAAGUUACUUGAACCUUAUUAUCUAGAGGAAGCAAAAGUCGUAACA